RNAcentral lists this ribosomal RNA (544 nucleotides) under uncultured bacterium. Its description in RNAcentral is "bacterial SSU rRNA". It matches the Rfam family "Bacterial small subunit ribosomal RNA", at positions 777 to 1322 of the family's 1533-position model. The record is from RNAcentral.
AAUAGAUACCCGGGUAGUCCACCCCGUAAACGUUGGGAACUAGUUGUGGGGUCCUUUCCACGGAUUCCGUGACGCAGCUAACGCAUUAAGUUCCCCGCCUGGGGAGUACGGCCGCAAGGCUAAAACUCAAAGGAAUUGACGGGGACCCGCACAAGCGGCGGAGCAUGCGGAUUAAUUCGAUGCAACGCGAAGAACCUUACCAAGGCUUGACAUACACCAGAACACCCUAGAAAUAGGGGACUCUUUGGACACUGGUGAACAGGUGGUGCAUGGUUGUCGUCAGCUCGUGUCGUGAGAUGUUGGGUUAAGUCCCGCAACGAGCGCAACCCUCGUUCUAUGUUGCCAGCACGUAAUGGUGGGAACUCAUGGGAUACUGCCGGGGUCAACUCGGAGGAAGGUGGGGAUGACGUCAAAUCAUCAUGCCCCUUAUGUCUUGGGCUUCACGCAUGCUACAAUGGCCGGUACAAAGGGCUGCAAUACCGUGAGGUGGAGCGAAUCCCGAAAAGCGGUCCAGUUCGGAUUGAGGUCUGCAACUCGACUCAUG